Non-coding RNA from Populus trichocarpa (black cottonwood), 397 nucleotides. The record is from Rfam. NCBI's taxonomy places the organism in Eukaryota, Viridiplantae, Streptophyta, Magnoliopsida, Malpighiales, Salicaceae.
GGUAGUAACAAAUAUUUAAAUGAGAACUUUGAAGGUCAAAAAGGGAAAAUGUUACAUGCGAAUGACACUUGCACAUGGUCUAGUAGAUCUUAAGAUACGGGGAAACCUGUUUGACAGCUCGUUUUGUGCGCGAGUUUUGCAAGGGAAUCAGGUUAAAAUUCUUCAACUGGGACAUGACGGCUGACAACAUCGUUAGGGAGUUAUAUUUUCUGUUUAACAACCCACUCACCCUAGAAAUGACUUAGUUGGAGGUCGGGUCCGGCGGUUGGAAGAGCAUCGCACGUCGCGUGGUGCGAUGCGCCCUUGAUGGCCCUUGAAAAUCCAGAGGAUCGAGUGCCUCCUAUACCCAAUCGUAAUCAUAACCACAUCAGGUCUUCAAGGUGAAUAACCUUUGGUC